This 85-nucleotide transfer RNA is filed under the name Ensifer sp. Root1298. Its description in RNAcentral is "tRNA-Leu". It matches the Rfam family "tRNA". From Rfam's summary of the family: Transfer RNA (tRNA) molecules are approximately 80 nucleotides in length. Their secondary structure includes four short double-helical elements and three loops (D, anti-codon, and T loops). RNAcentral also lists the same sequence under 3 other names. The record is from RNAcentral. Lineage: Bacteria; Pseudomonadati; Pseudomonadota; Alphaproteobacteria; Hyphomicrobiales; Rhizobiaceae.
GCGGGCGUGGCGAAACUGGUAGACGCAAGGGACUUAAAAUCCCUCGGCCUCGGCUGUGCGGGUUCGAUCCCCGCCGCCCGCACCA